CUAAUGGAAUUGCGACAUACCAACCGUUUAAUGGAAUGCCGGAACUAAAAGAGGCACUUUCCAAGACAUUGCUAAUACUGCUGCUAGGCAAAAAGAGAUUAUGGUGCUUUUGAAGAUCUACUGGGGAGAUGCUCGGGAGAAGAUAUGUGAAGCAAUUGAUAAUAUUUCUCUUAGUUGCCUUGUUAUAGGGAAUUGAGGCCUCAGCAAGCUCAAGAGGUUAAUUAUUUUGAAAUUACUUUUUGAUUAUAAUUGAAAUCUACUAUUCUGCAAUGUUGAACCA
Molecule: non-coding RNA, 280 nt
Organism: Camellia sinensis
Lineage: Eukaryota; Viridiplantae; Streptophyta; Magnoliopsida; Ericales; Theaceae
Source: RefSeq, a predicted model, not a curated record